CAACUUUCAACAACGGAUCUCUUGGUUCUGGCAUCGAUGAAGAACGCAGGGAAAUGCGAUAAGUAGUGUGAAGAGCAGAAUUCAGUGAAUCAUGGAAUCUUUGAACGCACAUUGCGCCCCUUGGUAUUCCAUGGGGCAUGCCUGUUCGAGCGUCAUU
This 157-nucleotide ribosomal RNA is filed under the name Epicoccum nigrum. RNAcentral's name for it is "5.8S ribosomal RNA". It matches the Rfam family "5.8S ribosomal RNA". Rfam says of the family: 5.8S ribosomal RNA (5.8S rRNA) is a component of the large subunit of the eukaryotic ribosome. It is transcribed by RNA polymerase I as part of the 45S precursor that also contains 18S and 28S rRNA. Functionally, it is thought that 5.8S rRNA may be involved in ribosome translocation. The record is from RNAcentral. Lineage: Eukaryota; Fungi; Ascomycota; Dothideomycetes; Pleosporales; Didymellaceae.